Molecule: ribosomal RNA, 2904 nt
Filed under: Shigella flexneri
Lineage: Bacteria; Pseudomonadati; Pseudomonadota; Gammaproteobacteria; Enterobacterales; Enterobacteriaceae
Description: 23S ribosomal RNA
Rfam family: Bacterial large subunit ribosomal RNA
Source: RNAcentral
GGUUAAGCGACUAAGCGUACACGGUGGAUGCCCUGGCAGUCAGAGGCGAUGAAGGACGUGCUAAUCUGCGAUAAGCGUCGGUAAGGUGAUAUGAACCGUUAUAACCGGCGAUUUCCGAAUGGGGAAACCCAGUGUGAUUCGUCACACUAUCAUUAACUGAAUCCAUAGGUUAAUGAGGCGAACCGGGGGAACUGAAACAUCUAAGUACCCCGAGGAAAAGAAAUCAACCGAGAUUCCCCCAGUAGCGGCGAGCGAACGGGGAGCAGCCCAGAGCCUGAAUCAGUGUGUGUGUUAGUGGAAGCGUCUGGAAAGGCGCGCGAUACAGGGUGACAGCCCCGUACACAAAAAUGCACAUGCUGUGAGCUCGAUGAGUAGGGCGGGACACGUGGUAUCCUGUCUGAAUAUGGGGGGACCAUCCUCCAAGGCUAAAUACUCCUGACUGACCGAUAGUGAACCAGUACCGUGAGGGAAAGGCGAAAAGAACCCCGGCGAGGGGAGUGAAAAAGAACCUGAAACCGUGUACGUACAAGCAGUGGGAGCACGCUUAGGCGUGUGACUGCGUACCUUUUGUAUAAUGGGUCAGCGACUUAUAUUCUGUAGCAAGGUUAACCGAAUAGGGGAGCCGAAGGGAAACCGAGUCUUAACUGGGCGUUAAGUUGCAGGGUAUAGACCCGAAACCCGGUGAUCUAGCCAUGGGCAGGUUGAAGGUUGGGUAACACUAACUGGAGGACCGAACCGACUAAUGUUGAAAAAUUAGCGGAUGACUUGUGGCUGGGGGUGAAAGGCCAAUCAAACCGGGAGAUAGCUGGUUCUCCCCGAAAGCUAUUUAGGUAGCGCCUCGUGAAUUCAUCUCCGGGGGUAGAGCACUGUUUCGGCAAGGGGGUCAUCCCGACUUACCAACCCGAUGCAAACUGCGAAUACCGGAGAAUGUUAUCACGGGAGACACACGGCGGGUGCUAACGUCCGUCGUGAAGAGGGAAACAACCCAGACCGCCAGCUAAGGUCCCAAAGUCAUGGUUAAGUGGGAAACGAUGUGGGAAGGCCCAGACAGCCAGGAUGUUGGCUUAGAAGCAGCCAUCAUUUAAAGAAAGCGUAAUAGCUCACUGGUCGAGUCGGCCUGCGCGGAAGAUGUAACGGGGCUAAACCAUGCACCGAAGCUGCGGCAGCGACGCUGAUGCGUUGUUGGGUAGGGGAGCGUUCUGUAAGCCUGCGAAGGUGUGCUGUGAGGCAUGCUGGAGGUAUCAGAAGUGCGAAUGCUGACAUAAGUAACGAUAAAGCGGGUGAAAAGCCCGCUCGCCGGAAGACCAAGGGUUCCUGUCCAACGUUAAUCGGGGCAGGGUGAGUCGACCCCUAAGGCGAGGCCGAAAGGCGUAGUCGAUGGGAAACAGGUUAAUAUUCCUGUACUUGGUGUUACUGCGAAGGGGGGACGGAGAAGGCUAUGUUGGCCGGGCGACGGUUGUCCCGGUUUAAGCGUGUAGGCUGGUUUUCCAGGCAAAUCCGGAAAAUCAAGGCUGAGGCGUGAUGACGAGGCACUACGGUGCUGAAGCAACAAAUGCCCUGCUUCCAGGAAAAGCCUCUAAGCAUCAGGUAACAUCAAAUCGUACCCCAAACCGACACAGGUGGUCAGGUAGAGAAUACCAAGGCGCUUGAGAGAACUCGGGUGAAGGAACUAGGCAAAAUGGUGCCGUAACUUCGGGAGAAGGCACGCUGAUAUGUAGGUGAAGUCCCUCGCGGAUGGAGCUGAAAUCAGUCGAAGAUACCAGCUGGCUGCAACUGUUUAUUAAAAACACAGCACUGUGCAAACACGAAAGUGGACGUAUACGGUGUGACGCCUGCCCGGUGCCGGAAGGUUAAUUGAUGGGGUCAGCGCAAGCGAAGCUCUUGAUCGAAGCCCCGGUAAACGGCGGCCGUAACUAUAACGGUCCUAAGGUAGCGAAAUUCCUUGUCGGGUAAGUUCCGACCUGCACGAAUGGCGUAAUGAUGGCCAGGCUGUCUCCACCCGAGACUCAGUGAAAUUGAACUCGCUGUGAAGAUGCAGUGUACCCGCGGCAAGACGGAAAGACCCCGUGAACCUUUACUAUAGCUUGACACUGAACAUUGAGCCUUGAUGUGUAGGAUAGGUGGGAGGCUUUGAAGUGUGGACGCCAGUCUGCAUGGAGCCGACCUUGAAAUACCACCCUUUAAUGUUUGAUGUUCUAACGUGGACCCGUAAUCCGGGUUGCGGACAGUGUCUGGUGGGUAGUUUGACUGGGGCGGUCUCCUCCUAAAGAGUAACGGAGGAGCACGAAGGUUGGCUAAUCCUGGUCGGACAUCAGGAGGUUAGUGCAAUGGCAUAAGCCAGCUUGACUGCGAGCGUGACGGCGCGAGCAGGUGCGAAAGCAGGUCAUAGUGAUCCGGUGGUUCUGAAUGGAAGGGCCAUCGCUCAACGGAUAAAAGGUACUCCGGGGAUAACAGGCUGAUACCGCCCAAGAGUUCAUAUCGACGGCGGUGUUUGGCACCUCGAUGUCGGCUCAUCACAUCCUGGGGCUGAAGUAGGUCCCAAGGGUAUGGCUGUUCGCCAUUUAAAGUGGUACGCGAGCUGGGUUUAGAACGUCGUGAGACAGUUCGGUCCCUAUCUGCCGUGGGCGCUGGAGAAUUGAGGGGGGCUGCUCCUAGUACGAGAGGACCGGAGUGGACGCAUCACUGGUGUUCGGGUUGUCAUGCCAAUGGCACUGCCCGGUAGCUAAAUGCGGAAGAGAUAAGUGCUGAAAGCAUCUAAGCACGAAACUUGCCCCGAGAUGAGUUCUCCCUGACCCUUUAAGGGUCCUGAAGGAACGUUGAAGACGACGACGUUGAUAGGCCGGGUGUGUAAGCGCAGCGAUGCGUUGAGCUAACCGGUACUAAUGAACCGUGAGGCUUAACCUU